This 572-nucleotide ribosomal RNA is filed under the name Ascoglobospora marina. RNAcentral's name for it is "Halosphaeriaceae sp. MAAW-2022a partial large subunit ribosomal RNA". It matches the Rfam family "Eukaryotic large subunit ribosomal RNA", at positions 29 to 629 of the family's 3401-position model. Lineage: Eukaryota; Fungi; Ascomycota; Sordariomycetes; Microascales; Halosphaeriaceae. The record is from RNAcentral.
UGAACUUAAGCAUAUCAAUAAGCGGAGGAAAAGAAACCAACAGGGAUUGCCCUAGUAUACGGCGAGUGAAGCGGCAACAGCUCAAAUUUGAAAUCUGGCGCUUGCGCCCGAGUUGUAAUUUGCAGAGGAUGCUUCUGGCAAGGUGCCUACCAAGUUCCCUGGAACGGGACGCCAUAGCAGGUGAGAGCCCUGUACGGUUGGUCGCCGCGUCGUUGUGAAGCGCCUUCGACGAGUCGAGUAGUUUGGGAAUGCUGCUCUAAAUGGGAGGUAAACUCCUUCUAAAGCUAAAUAUUGGCCAGAGACCGAUAGCGCACAAGUAGAGUGAUCGAAAGAUGAAAAGCACUUUGAAAAGAGAGUCAAACAGCACGUGAAAUUGUUGAAAGGGAAGCGCUUAUGACCAGACUUGGACCUUCAGUUCAGCCGUCCUUUUGGGCGGUGCAUUCUGCCGGUUCAGGCCAGCAUCAGUUGUCGGUUGGGGAGAAAUGCAGCAGGAAUGUGGCUCUUCGGAGUGUUAUAGCCUGUUGUUAUGCCCUUCUGGCGACUGAGGUUCGCGCCUCUGGACGGGAUGCUGG